Molecule: ribosomal RNA, 2178 nt
Filed under: Selenoteuthis scintillans
Lineage: Eukaryota; Metazoa; Mollusca; Cephalopoda; Oegopsida; Lycoteuthidae
Description: SSU rRNA
Rfam family: Eukaryotic small subunit ribosomal RNA
Source: RNAcentral
CUUGUCUCAAAGCUUAAGCCAUGCAAGUGUAAGUUCACGCCACGCAUUAGAACGGGCGAAACCGCGAAUGGCUCAGGAACCGGACCUAAUCCUCGGGACCGUAAUCCUCCUCGGAGGCGAUGGAUAACUGUGGCAAUUCUAGAGCUAAUACAUGUGACACAGGCCGCGAUCGGUCGUCGCGCCGUGGUCGCCUCGCCUUCUUGCGCGCUGGCACCCGCGACGGCCGUCUUGGGUCGCGGCGCUACAUAUUAGACUGAGACCGAUGCGCGAUUUCCGUCCUCCCGUUUCGGGUUUCGGCUCGUUUCGGGACCAAAGGUCGGCGCGCUCCGCUUUGGUGACUCUGGAUAACUCACUGGUCGAUCGCACGGGCUUCCACGCCCGGCGACGGGUCCCUCGAGGGUCCGCCCUAUCAACUGUCGACGGUCGGUUAAGUGCCUACCGUGGUUACUACGGGUAACGGGGAAUCGGGGUUCGAUUCCGGAGAGGGAGCAUGCGAAACGGCUACCACAUCCAAGGAAGGCAGCAGGCGCGCAAAUUACCCACUCCCGGCACGGGGAGGUAGUGACGAAAAAUAACGACGCGGGACUCUGUCGAGGCCCCGCGAUCGGAAUGAGUACACUUCAAAUCCGUUAACGAGGACCAACCGGAGGGCAAGUCUGGUGCCAGCAGCCGCGGUAAUUCCAGCUCCGGUAGCGUAUAUUAAAGUUGUUGCGGUUAAAAAGCUCGUAGUCCGAAUUCGGGUUCGUGGUCGCUCACGCGGCCCCGGGGCGGCGGCGCCAUCGUCCAUCGUUGACUUUGGUCGUCCGUUCGCAUUCCCGGCCCUUUCCGCCGGUGUCAAUCGCUAUAUAGACGGCCGUUGGUCAGCUGGUGUUAGGCGCGUGGUGGCCGGGAGAAGGGUUCUGCGUGGUUGCGCUCGUCGCUCUGCGUGUUCCCGACUCUUUGGUUGCUGCCGGGCUCUCGGGCUCCCUUUCGCUACGCCCCUUCGUCGCCGUCGGUGAUUUCUCCUCCAAGGGUGCUCUUAACCGAGUGUCCGCGGCGGCCGGUACGUUCACUUUGAAAAAAUUAGAGUGCUCAGAGCGGGCUGUUCAAGCUUGCAUACGAUAAGCAUGGAAUGAUGGAAGAGGGCCUCGUCUACGUCUGUCGGUCUCCGUCUACGGCGAGGCAAUGAUCGAAGGGAGCGGUCGGGGCCACUCGUAUUGCGACGUUAGAGGUGAAAUUCUUGGAUCGUCGCAAGACGAACUGCAGCGAUGGCGUGUGGCAAGCACGUUUUCCUCGAUCAAGAGCGAAAGUCGGAGGUUCGAAGACGAUCAGAUACCGUCGUAGUUCCGACCGUAAACGAUGCCGACCGGCGAUCCGCCGGCGUUCGCUUCCAUGACCCGGCGGGUAGCCUGCGGGAAACCAGAGUUCGGUUCCGGGGGGAGUAUGGUUGCAAAGCUGAAACUUAAAGGAAUUGACGGAAGGGCACCACCAGGAGUGGAGCCUGCGGCUUAAUUUGACUCAACACGGGAAAACUCACCCGGUCCGGACACCGGUAGGAUUGACAGAUCGAUAGCUCUUUCUCGAUUCGGUGGGUGGUGGUGCAUGGCCGUUCUUAGUUGGUGGAGCGAUCCGUCUGGUUGAUUCCGAUAACGAACGAGACUCCGGCCUGCUAACUAGUGCGCCGAUGUGAGUGCGGCCCUUCGUUGGUCGUGUGCGGGCUCGUCGGCGGCGAUUUUUGAUCGUCGUCCGUUGCGUGUCCGGGUCGGUUUCUCACGCACUUCUUAGAGGGACGGGUGGCAGAAAGCCACACGAGGCGGAGCGAUAACAGGUCUGUGAUGCCCUUAGAUGUCCGGGGCCGCACGCGCGCUACACUGGAGGUAUCAGCGGGGACUUCGCCCCGGCCCGAGAGGGUCGGGAAACCUCUCAACCACCUCCCGUGAUAGGGAUCGGGGCCUGUAACCAACCCCGUGAACGAGGAAUUCCCGGUAGGCGCGGGUCAACAGCCCGCGUCGAUCACGUCCCUGCCCUUUGUACACACCGCCCGUCGCUACUACCGAUCGAACGGUCCGGUGAGGUCCUCGGAUCUGGCCGACGACGCCGCCGGGUGAAGGCUUUCGGGUCCCGCCUCGGCGUUCGAUGCCUGGAGAAGACGACCGAACCCGAUCGUUUAGAGGAAGUAAAAGUCGUAACAAUGUUUCC